GAGCUGAUAGCUCAGCGGUAAAAGGCGUUCGGCUGUGAACCCACCGCUCGGGAGUUCGACUCCCGAUUCGCACA
Non-coding RNA from Eragrostis curvula (weeping love grass), 74 nucleotides. NCBI's taxonomy places the organism in Eukaryota, Viridiplantae, Streptophyta, Magnoliopsida, Poales, Poaceae. The record is from the annotation of a GenBank genome assembly.